UUCUGGUUGAUCCUGGCAGAGGUUACUGCUAUCGAGAUUCGACUAAGCCAUGCGAGUCGAAUGUUCUUCGUGAACAUGGCGAACUGCUCAGUAACACGUGGACAACCUACCCUUGGGUUCGGCAUAGUCCUGGGAAACUGGGGAUAAUACCGGAUAGGUCACAGAUGCUGGAACGCACUGUGGCUCAAAGCUCCGGCGCCCAAGGAUGGGUCUGCGGCCUAUCAGGGUUGUAGUGGGUGUAAUGUACCUACUAGCCUACGACGGGUACGGGUUGUGAGAGCAAGAGCCCGGAGAUGGAUUCUGAGACACGAAUCCAGGCCCUACGGGGUGCAGCAGGCGCGAAAACUUUACAAUGCGGGAAACCGUGAUAAGGGAAUCUCGAGUGCCAGCAUAUAAUGUUGGCUGUCCAGAUGCCUAAAAAGCAUCUGUUAGCAAGGGCCGGGCAAGACCGGUGCCAGCCGCCGCGGUAACACCGGCGGCCCGAGUGGUAACCGCUAUUAUUGGGUCUAAAGGGUCUGUAGCCGGCCAGGUAAGUCCCUUGGGAAAUCUGGCAGCCCAACUGUCAGGCUGCUAGGGGAUACUGUUUGGCUUGGGACCGGGAGAGGUGAGAGGUACCUUGGGGGUGGGGGGAAAUCUUGUAACCUGAAGGACCACCA
This 656-nucleotide ribosomal RNA is filed under the name uncultured Methanosaeta sp. RNAcentral describes it as "bacterial SSU rRNA". It matches the Rfam family "Archaeal small subunit ribosomal RNA", at positions 1 to 662 of the family's 1478-position model. The record is from RNAcentral. Lineage: Archaea; Methanobacteriati; Methanobacteriota; Methanomicrobia; Methanotrichales; Methanotrichaceae.